This 468-nucleotide ribosomal RNA is filed under the name uncultured bacterium. RNAcentral's name for it is "partial 16S ribosomal RNA". It matches the Rfam family "Bacterial small subunit ribosomal RNA", at positions 28 to 507 of the family's 1533-position model. The record is from RNAcentral.
GACGAACGCUGGCGGCGUGCUUAACACAUGCAAGUCGAACGGAAAGGCCCUGCUUUUGUGGGGUGCUCGAGUGGCGAACGGGUGAGUAACACGUGAGUAACCUGCCCUUGACUUUGGGAUAACUUCAGGAACCUGGGGCUAAUACCGGAUAGGAGCUCCUGCUGCAUGGUGGGGGUUGGAAAGUUACGGCGGUUGGGGAUGGACUCGCGGCUUAUCAGCUUGUUGGUGGGGUAGUGGCUUACCAAGGCUUUGACGGGUAGCCGGCCUGAGAGGGUGACCGGCCACAUUGGGACUGAGAUACGGCCCAGACUCCUACGGGAGGCAGCAGUGGGGAAUAUUGCACAAUGGGCGGAAGCCUGAUGCAGCAACGCCGCGUGCGGGAUGACGGCCUUCGGGUUGUAAACCGCUUUCGCCUGUGACGAAGCGUGAGUGACGGUAAUGGGUAAAGAAGCACCGGCUAACUACGUG